RNAcentral lists this ribosomal RNA (336 nucleotides) under Triticum aestivum (bread wheat). RNAcentral describes it as "partial small subunit ribosomal RNA". Lineage: Eukaryota; Viridiplantae; Streptophyta; Magnoliopsida; Poales; Poaceae. The record is from RNAcentral.
GGCAGUAAAUGCCUUGUCAAUUGGACAAAAGUAUGUUCCCCGAAGGAUUAUGGUGGUCUUGGCAUCAAGGAUCUUGAUCUGCACAGCCACGCCUUGUGACUGAGGUGGCUAUGGUAGAGCUGGGACAACUCUGAUCGACCAUGGAAAGGUUUCCCAGUUCCUUGCAAUGAGACUGACAGGCGCCUUUUUGCUGCUUGCACCGCUAUCAACAUCAAAACUGGCACACUAAAAGACCUUAAAAACCUCUCGGUCCGAGAUGGAAUUACGAAUGCCAGAUGGAUGAGAGGCCUUCAGAAAAUAAAUUCUGAGCGCAAUUUAACUCUUCCAUCAGGAUAG